RNAcentral lists this ribosomal RNA (253 nucleotides) under uncultured bacterium. Its description in RNAcentral is "partial 16S ribosomal RNA". It matches the Rfam family "Bacterial small subunit ribosomal RNA", at positions 524 to 776 of the family's 1533-position model. The record is from RNAcentral.
UACGGAGGAUGCAAGCGUUAUCCGGAAUGAUUGGGCGUAAAGCGUCCGCAGGUGGCUAUGUAAGUCUGCUGUUAAAGAGUGAGGCUCAACCUCAUAAGAGCAGUGGAAACUACAUGGCUAAAGUGCGUUCGGGGCAGAGGGAAUUCCUGGUGUAGCGGUGAAAUGCGUAGAUAUCAGGAAGAACACCGGUGGCGAAAGCGCUCUGCUAGGCCGCAACUGACACUGAGGGACGAAAGCUAGGGGAGCGAAUGGG